AAAAGUCUCCGAAUUGGGCCGAGGUUUUGGCUAGCCCCCCAUUGUCAGACGUCCCGAGCGCGUCCCCGAAGUCGGAAUCGGCAAAGGUGAGCCGGGACAGCCUUCUUCCUCCGCCCAGCCGCCACAGUAAUUUGUCGUCAAGUUUGCCACAGGAGGAUAUUUUGUUCUGGGUUAACCUGCUUUUCUCCUUCGCAGGUGUUUAUCAAUAAUUGUGUAAUUUUAUUUACUCUUAGAAUUUCCGCAUGUGUUAGCAGUAAUUAUUUGAAUUUGGUCUGUAAUAUUAUAUUCAUGUUGGACCUGUAAACUUAAUAUUUUAAGUCUGUUUUGAUGGAUUGGAUGAGGGAGCUGAGCUCCCAUUUAUUAUUA
Hevea brasiliensis (rubber tree) is the source of this 366-nucleotide long non-coding RNA. RefSeq lists it as uncharacterized. The transcript has 3 exons. The record is from RefSeq and is a predicted model, not a curated record. Lineage: Eukaryota; Viridiplantae; Streptophyta; Magnoliopsida; Malpighiales; Euphorbiaceae.